UACGGAGGGUGCGAGCGUUAUCCGGAAUCACUGGGUUUAAAGGGUGCGUAGGCGGCUCGGUAAGUCAGUUGUGAAAGCCCCUUGCUUAACGAGGGAGGUGCGAUCGAUACUGUCGAGCUUGAAUCGGGAUGAGGCAGGCGGAAUGUGGCAUGUUGCGGUGAGAUGCAUAGAUAUGCCAUAGAACACCGAUUGCGAAGGCAGCCUGCUGGGCCUGUAUUCACGCUGAGGCACGAAAGCGUGGGGAGCAAACAGG
RNAcentral lists this ribosomal RNA (253 nucleotides) under uncultured bacterium. RNAcentral's name for it is "partial 16S ribosomal RNA". It matches the Rfam family "Bacterial small subunit ribosomal RNA", at positions 524 to 776 of the family's 1533-position model. The record is from RNAcentral.